RNAcentral lists this unclassified non-coding RNA (283 nucleotides) under fungal sp. RNAcentral describes it as "partial internal transcribed spacer region". The stretch from base 1 to 46 matches the Rfam family "Eukaryotic small subunit ribosomal RNA", at positions 1786 to 1831 of the family's 1831-position model. The record is from RNAcentral. Lineage: Eukaryota; Fungi.
AAGUCGUAACAAGGUUUCCGUAGGUGAACCUGUGGAAGGAUCAUUACCAAUUCGACCUUGGGUUUGGAAAAUGGCGUUUGCCGUUUUUCUGAAUUCCAUCCAACCAACCUUUGAUUGUGAACGUUGAGAUUUAUCAAGUCUUCCUGUGUUUGUUCACGGGGAGCAAUUUUAUCCAACCCCACUUAUCCGCACCGCGCGUGUGGAAAAAGCAAGCGUUGAGCUCCGAAACUGAAAAAAACAAAAAUGUCAUGUACAACUUUUAACGGCGGAUCUCUUGGCUCGU